GACGGAGGAUGCAAGCGUUAUCCGGAAUGAUUGGGCGUAAAGCGUCCGCAGGUGGCAGUUCAAGUCUGCUGUCAAAGACCGGGGCUUAACUUCGGAAAGGCAGUGGAAACUGAACAGCUAGAGUAUGGUAGGGGCAGAGGGAAUUCCUGGUGUAGCGGUGAAAUGCGUAGAGAUCAGGAAGAACAUCGGUGGCGAAGGCGCUCUGCUGGACCAUAACUGACACUCAGGGACGAAAGCGUGGGUAGCAAGCAGG
Molecule: ribosomal RNA, 253 nt
Filed under: uncultured bacterium
Lineage: Bacteria
Description: partial 16S ribosomal RNA
Rfam family: Bacterial small subunit ribosomal RNA
Source: RNAcentral